GAUGAAGAACGCAGUGAAAUGCGAUAAGUAAUGCGAAUUGCAGAAUUCCAGUGAGUCAUCGAAUCUUUGAACGCACAUUGCGCCCGCCAGUAUUCUGGCGAGCAUGCCUGUUCGAGCGUCAUUUCAACCAUCAAGCCCCAGGCUUGUGUUGGAGCCCUGCGGCUGCCGCAGCCUCCCAAAACCAGUGGCGGGCUCGCUAUCACACCGAGUGCAGUAGUUUACUCUUCGCUCAGGGCGUGUGGCGGGUGCUAGCCGUGAAACCCCCAACUUCUCAAGGUUGACCUCGGAUCAGGUAGGAAUACCCGCUGAACUUAAGCAUAUCAAUAAGCGGAGGA
This 335-nucleotide unclassified non-coding RNA is filed under the name soil metagenome. Its description in RNAcentral is "partial contains 5.8S ribosomal RNA, internal transcribed spacer 2, and large subunit ribosomal RNA". The stretch from base 1 to 121 matches the Rfam family "5.8S ribosomal RNA", at positions 35 to 154 of the family's 154-position model. The record is from RNAcentral.